UAUUUGUUUUCUUCUGCAGAUGUAAAGUACUGCGUCACAGCUGACCGCUUUCCGCUGGACUCACGUGCCUUGUGGAGUCGUGAUGGGAUCCACCUGAGUGACGAUCUGGGGAUGCCGCUUCUCGCGAAGCUUCUGUGGCACUUCUCCUUUCAGCAGCUACAGUCACCUCUGCCUGUUACACCACCGCCUGUGUCUCCUCCCAAGUCACCCCCGACUGUGAGACCCUUUGCUACCACCGUGGUUGUGAAGGGAGAGGUUUCACGUCCACGUCCCCUUGACCCCUUCAAGGAAACUGUCGUCGGACGUCGCGGAAAGCGCAGCCAACCUGAGUCCUGG
Molecule: long non-coding RNA, 336 nt
Organism: Gadus morhua (Atlantic cod)
Lineage: Eukaryota; Metazoa; Chordata; Actinopteri; Gadiformes; Gadidae
Exons: 3
Source: RefSeq, a predicted model, not a curated record